RNAcentral lists this ribosomal RNA (465 nucleotides) under uncultured bacterium. RNAcentral describes it as "partial 16S ribosomal RNA". It matches the Rfam family "Bacterial small subunit ribosomal RNA", at positions 339 to 795 of the family's 1533-position model. The record is from RNAcentral.
CUACGGGUUGCUCCAGUGGGGAAUAUUGGACAAUGGGGGAAACCCUGAUCCAGCAAUGCCGCGUGUGUGAAGAAGGCCUGCGGGUUGUAAAGCACUUUCGGUUGGGAGGACUGCUUCUAGCACUAAUAUUGUUGGAAGUUGACGUUACCUUCAGAAGAAGCACCGGCUAACUCCGUGCCAGCAGCCGCGGUAAUACGGAGGGUGCAGGCGUUAAUCGGAAUUACUGGGCGUAAAGCGCGCGUAGGCGGCUAGAUCAGUCGGGUGUGAAAGCCCCGGGCUUAACCUGGGAACUGCAUCCGAUACUGUCUAGCUUGAGUACAGGAGAGGAGAGUGGAAUUCCACAUGUAGCGGUGAAAUGCGUAGAUAUGUGGAGGAACACCAAUGGCGAAGGCAGCUCUCUGGCCUGAUACUGACGCUGAGGUGCGAACGCGUGGGGAGCAAACAGGAUUAGAUACCCCUGUAGUC